CAGGACCUGCAGGACGAGGACGUGGCCGCCUUCUUGGCCCUGGCCCAGGACGCCCUGGACAUGACCUUUGGCCUCACAGACCGGCCGCGGCUCUUUCAGCAGUUUGGUCUCAGCAAGGACACUGUGGUUCUCUUCAAGAAGGUAGGUCAGGCCCAGGUGAGGGUUGGGGUCCGGCUGCCGCGCCCGCUGACCCACCUGCUGCUGUCCAGUUUGACGAGGGGCGGGCAGACUUCGCCGUGGACGAGGAGCUUGGCCUGGACCUGGGGGAUCUGUUGCGCUUCCUGGUCACACACAGCAUGCGCCUGGUCACGGAGUUCAAUAGCCAGACGUCUGCCAAGAUCUUCGCGGCCAGGAUCCUCAACCACCUGCUGCUUUUUGUCAACCAGACGCUGGCUGCGCACCGGGAGCUCCUAGCGGGCUUUGGGGAGGCAGCUCCCCGCUUCCGGGGGUGCUGUUCGUGGUGGUGGACGUGGUGGCCGACAAUGAGCACGUGCUGCAGUACUUUGGCCUCAAGGCUGA
This 519-nucleotide small RNA is filed under the name Pan troglodytes (chimpanzee). RNAcentral describes it as "processed transcript". The record is from RNAcentral. Lineage: Eukaryota; Metazoa; Chordata; Mammalia; Primates; Hominidae.